RNAcentral lists this long non-coding RNA (651 nucleotides) under Homo sapiens (human). RNAcentral describes it as "HSALNT0102590". The record is from RNAcentral. Lineage: Eukaryota; Metazoa; Chordata; Mammalia; Primates; Hominidae.
GGCACACACGUAGUUCUUUCUUACACCAGUUCUGCAAAACCCAGGACAAGAAGACUCGUCAAUCACCAGGUCCUGGUAUUCAUGCUUUUGUGUAGUUUCCUCCCACACUGAAUUAAGCUGACCUGUGUAACUCACAAGACAUUGCAGGAAUGACGGUGUGUGUGCUCAGGCUGAACAUAAAAGACUCUGAGACUUCUGCCUUGCCCUCUUGUAGCACUCUCCAGGAAAAGCUGCCUGCUAGAUAACAUGAAGACACGCCAGCAGCCUCAUGGGGGUGGAGGGAAGAGAGGCCUCAUGGUGAGGGACUGAGGCCUCCUACUAAAAGCCAGCACUAACUUGUCAGGCAUGAAAGUGAGCCACCUGGAAGCACAUCUUCAGCCCCUGUGGACCCUUUAGAUGACUGCAGGCCCUGCUGACAUCUUGACUGAAACCUCAUGAGACAGCUAGAACCAGAAUCGCCCAGAGAGAAGAACAUCAAAGGUGCGGGUUUAGGGCCCAGAAAGCCACUGGCCCCUUAAUAUCCAGAAAAGGACAAAAACUCACGGGAGUCAAGCACUGUUUGCCUGGAAGAAGAAAGAUAAAGACACAGACAAGCCCUGCUCCCCCACCAGCCAAAACUACUAUUCUACCUGUUUCCUGAUUCUGACCCAC